AAUCUAGGAGGCAGGUGCUCACAUGUCCUCCUCCAUGCUUAUGAAACACAUGGAGGAGGCCAUAGUGGCAACUGUCACCAUGAUU
Molecule: non-coding RNA, 85 nt
Organism: Mesocricetus auratus (golden hamster)
Lineage: Eukaryota; Metazoa; Chordata; Mammalia; Rodentia; Cricetidae
Source: Rfam